AACAAGAAACUGUCUGGUGGGAGCUGUUGUAGCCAGCAAUCCUGAGUGAACAUUUGGUAAAAAGUAUCCGAAUGGGACAGAAUUGUCUUAAACUAGCUUAGAGAUUCUAAGUGAGCAUCAGCAAGGGACAGAAGCAGCUUAAGGAAAAUCCAUGUUAUCAAUUUAUUUUCAAGUAUGUAUUGGUGUGUUCUCGAGCAGACAAUGAAUUACAGAGGUGGAUUAUAACGGUAGAAUGAAUAAUUUUGAGAAGAUCAAACAGCCAAGGAAGAUAUUAUCUCCAGUUUCAAUGGGUUUAAACUUUUGACACAUUCAUAUCAAAUCCAAGAGAUACUCAAGGCAAUGACAGGUAAAAAAAAUCAGUGUCUUCCUUGAAUCCUAUUCCCAAGAUCCUGCUUGCAGAGAUGAAGGAAGAAUAUGAUGCCAUAUAGUAGAUGUUAAGAAAACAACAAUUGGAAUCUACUGAAAGAAAACCAAAAUAGAUAUAGAAUCAGUGAAGAAUUCUUAAGCAUUGUUCCAUGCACAAAUAUUGCAGUAACUUGCAGGAGAAAAGGAUUCAUCAUCUCUACUAUUGCCGGUCUCUAAAAAUGGUCAACUUCUGAUUCAAAGGUCACCUUUUUUCGUCAGCUAUGUUUAACAUCAUUAUUACUAUGUUAACCUUAAUGGAAGCCACCUAUUUGAAAUAUUGCCCUAAAGAUAAUAGAAGCAUUAUAGAGGAGAAAUAGAAGAGGAAUACAGUGAUGUAUGCAGUCCUAUACAUUAAAAGCAAUUAGAUAAAGUUUGUGAAUGUGCUAGAAAAAUAAAGGAUGAAUUAUUGUUGUGCUUUUAUUCUGAUACAA
Molecule: non-coding RNA, 836 nt
Organism: Pantherophis guttatus
Lineage: Eukaryota; Metazoa; Chordata; Lepidosauria; Squamata; Colubridae
Source: RefSeq, a predicted model, not a curated record